Molecule: ribosomal RNA, 441 nt
Filed under: uncultured bacterium
Lineage: Bacteria
Description: partial 16S ribosomal RNA
Rfam family: Bacterial small subunit ribosomal RNA
Source: RNAcentral
GAUGAACGCUGGCGGCGUGCCUAAUACAUGCAAGUCGAACGGGGAGUAGCAAUACUCUUAGUGGCGAACGGGUGAGUAACGCGUUGGUACCUGCCCCGAAGCGGGGGAUAACGGACCGAAAGGUCCGCUAUUACCCCAUGUGCUCGGUAACGAGUAAAGGUGAAAACCACUUUGGGAGGGGCCUGCGUCCCAUCAGCUAGUUGGUAAGGUAACGGCUUACCAAGGCGAUGACGGGUAGGGGACCUGAGAGGGUGGCCCCCCACAAUGGAACUGAAACACGGUCCAUACACCUACGGGUGGCAGCAGUAGGGAAUAUUGGUAAUGGGCGCAAGCCUGAACCAGCAACGCCGCGUGUGCGAUGACGGCCUUCGGGUUGUAAAGCACUUUUGACUGGGACGAGGAAGGACGGUACCGGUCGAAUCAGCCUCGGCUAACUACGUG